Microplitis mediator is the source of this 6000-nucleotide long non-coding RNA. RefSeq lists it as uncharacterized. The transcript has 3 exons. Lineage: Eukaryota; Metazoa; Arthropoda; Insecta; Hymenoptera; Braconidae. The record is from RefSeq and is a predicted model, not a curated record.
UAAAUUUAAAAAUUGAUACUUACGUAAAUCGCGUCGGUCGUUAAAAAAAAUAAAACAAAAUAAGACAACAUAUCUGAAGGAGUGGAUUACGCAUAAACAUAUUAAUUAAAUGUAAAUAAGUUGUUUAACAUUUGAAUAUUAACAUGGGCUUGCCGUUGCUCUGCGACUGAAAAUUUAAUCGAUAACCAGAGAAUACUAAUGCAAUAGCAAAAAAGGAAAAACAAAAAAAAUUUAUCCAUCAUUCAAAUUAACUCAUCAUUUAGUCAACAUCAAAUUCAAAACUCUCCAAGGCAAGCAUCUGUUUUGUGCUUUGCAAGUCAUCUCUUACUGCGUCAAUAUCAUCCAUUUCGUCCGGAACAGCAUCAUUAACAAGUGUAGUAUCAGAUUUGUGCAUCUGUUCCUCUAUUGUCAAUUGUCGUCUAAAUUUCCUCAAUCCUUCUAAUAUUGGUUUUGAUCGAUCAUUUGUCUUAACACUCUUCAAUUUAACUCCACUGACAAUUUGCUUGAGCAAUUUGUUAUGCAUAUUAGAUGUUUCUGAUUCAAAAACAAAGUGUGCGUUUCCUGUAAAAUAUCAAACAGUAAAAACUGAUGUAUAAAAAUCUUAUCUUUAAUUAAUAAUUUUCAAAUUAAACAAAUAAUACCUGUUGGAUCUUCUGUAACUUUGCUAACCCUCUCAAUUAUUGGAGCACUUCUGUCAUUACAUUUAACAUGCUUGAGCUUUCUACCACUUUCAACUUCUUUCAUCAUACAUGCCCAAUCCGGACGUUUUCUUGGCCUCGAUUUAAGCAUUUCCAAUUUUUCUUGUUGCGAAUCCGUAAGUUCCGGUAAAUCUUUCAAUAUUUUACGGGCUGGAGGAGGUGGUGGUGGUCUAGGUGGUGGUGGCGGUGGUAUUGCAGCUCUUGAUGAACUUUUUGAUAAUGUCGGUGCCCCUGAUAUUAUAGUAACACAAUAUAUACAAUUAAAUAACUAAUCAAUAGGGUCGAUUAAAUAAUUAACUGACAAUGAGGACAGUUACGAUCAAAAUAACUCAAUCAGUUUACUCUACUCUAAUGCCAAUCAAUUUUAUCAUGUGUGUAGUAAAUCGUGUAUUACAUAAAUUAUUUUUAAAUCAACAAUUAUUUUAAUACGGAAGAAAAAAAUUACAGUUUCAAAUAGUGACUUCAAAAUUUAACUAAAAGUUCUGUCAAAAGUAUGCUUAUUUUAACCCUUUCACGCAUAAAGGACACAUUUGUCCCUGCAUAAUUUUCCGAUUUACAAUAACAUACUGGCCAAGUAAAAUCUUUUUUAGAUUUAUAAUUUUUGAUUUUUAGUACUUUUUCAAAUUUUCGCGGAACACCUUCACAUGUAACGGUAAAAGUUAGUAAUAGAAAAAAUACAGUGCGCUAAACGUCACCUGGAAAAUCGCACAAAUAAUACAUGCUCUCCAUGUAAUGUUCAUUUAUGUUAUACUUUAGAUCGUAAUUGUUUUGUAAAAUUUCAUAAUUUUUAGUAUUUUAAAUAAGUAUAUACAUUUAAUAAGUUGUAUUUUCUGCCAUAUUUUGUGUUCAUUUUGCAACAAAAGCGUGAAGUAUUUGAUUGCAAUCCAUUGAAAAAUGUAUACUUGAAGGCAUAUAGGGAUAUAUAUGUGUCUCCAUUCCAAAAACACUAAAAUAUACACAAUUUCUGUCUUAUGGAUUACUUUUGUGUUGAAUUAGAUCAAAAUAGAUGGAUGUAAAUAAACAAAAACAUUUUUACUCUUGGAAUAGUUAUGAACGUGUAAGGGUUAAACUGUAAAUUUUACUGCUGAGAAUAAUAUUUAACAAAAUAAUUAUUUGAAACUGUAAUUAUUACAGAAUUUUGUCAAAUGUCACCAGUUUUAAAUUCAAAGCAUCGCGUUAUUAUAUUAAACUGUAAUAUUUCUUGUUUUAUUUUUUGCGUAAAUGGCAAUCAAAUAGAAAUCUGAUUUUUAAAAAUUAAAAUAUAAUUUAAAAUAAAUAUUCUCACCAGUUGAACUUUCACUUUUUGAAAGAGGAACUUUGUUAUCGGUACGCGAUUGAGAUUUUUCAACGCGAAUCUGCCGUUCAAGUUGAGGUCUUGAAGACGGUGUCUCCGUACGCGAUUCAUUCUGCUGUCCGAGUUUAGGAGCUGUUGAUGUUUUACUUCUUUCAUUCUCACUCUGUUUGACGUUUGAUGUUGCUAGUUUAGUAGUUGCAUUCUUAUCGCUUUUAGGUUGCGUUGGCACGAUAGUUAUUUUACUUUGCUUUUUAAUUGGAGCUUCAGACGGUUGUUUUUGUGGUGCCACAGCGUCUGCUGGUUUCGCUACACUCUAAAAAAUUUAUUUUUUAAAAUAAUUAUUAUUAUAAUUAUUUUUAUCAAUCAUUUACAUUUAAUUUAUUUAUUAUAUCAUUAAUUAUUUUAAAUUAUUCACUUGAUUAACUAAUUCAAUAUUUAAACUGCUGCGUUUAACAACUAGCAUCGGGUACUUUGUAUUUUCACUCGCAGUCCAUCUAUGCGGGGGUAUUUUUCUUUGACUGUUAGAACUUGUUCCAGCAAUAUCCAUUUAGUUAUCAAAUUUUUUUCUUUAUUUUAGUAAAAUAUCAAACAUGAAAAUUUCGAAUCACUGAGUAAGAUUAUAAAUGUGGUCGCAUCAAAAGUAAAAGUACUAAUGAUUCAUAUCAGAUCGAAUUAAAUAAAAAAAAUUAAUUUGGCAAGUCGUUUAAUUUUCUUUAAAUAAUACUUUGAUAUAUAUUUCUUCUAUAUAUAUAUUUAAAUAUAUUCUAAAAUAAUUGCAUGAUUAAUUGGAUUAUGACACAAGAAAAAAUGAAAAUUUUGACGUCAUGAAUGAUAUAAUUAAAUUUAUUAUUAUUUAUGUUGAUGUGUACAUCCUCAGUAAAUAAUUCUUACACUUUGUUUAUUAUGAAAUCUCCAUUUUUUUCUAAUUGUCCUGAUAGUCACUUUGAUCGUAAGUGACAGGAAUCUACGACUGAAAAAAGAUGUCAAGUUGACUGCAAAUAGUUGUCGGUAACUUGUAGUAAAUUUGGAAGUUAAAUUUUGCUCAUUCAAGUUUUUUUCCCGCAACUCUCAAAUUUAAACUAACUUUUGUUCUUCGUUUUUUUUUCCGCAACUUGAAGGCAAUUUUUUGAUUCAACUUGCAUUCCUAUUACGGCUAUAGAUUUACGUCAACUUGUGGUAUUACAUGUUCAUGUUGUAUUCAUAUUACAAUCAAAACUUGAAACAGCAGAACUUGACAUAGACUUGACCCAAGAUACUGAACAAGUUUUUGAACAGAACAUGUGGCUAUCAAGAUGCCUAUCUAGUUUUUUCAAAUUUUAUUUGGGAGCUCUGUUAUUGCAUGUCUGUUUAUUAUAAAAGUUUAUUAUUAAAUAUAUAAAAAGGUUGACAUCUGUCUAGAAUUUCUCGGACAUGUCUUAAUUUUAAAAGUGUCCGGGCACUCCGGCAGGUGUUUUUCUGUUUGAAUUUUUUAACAUUUACUUUUUAAAUACUAAAAAAAUAAGAAACUUUUUACUAAUGGACAAAAGAAAGGAACAAAUUCAAACUCAAUCCAAUUGCCGGUUUGCUACUUUUAAAUAAUUAAGCAAAGACGAUUUAAUAAAAAUUAAUAUUUUUAAAAAAUAUCUUCGAGAUAGUGAAUAUUACUUUUAAAAAUUGUUUUUCAAUAAAAAAAUAAUUAUUAGCAAACAGAAGCUUGAUUAUUAAAAUAGUAUAUUACACACCUAGGGAAGUAAAGUAAGAAAUGUCUCAGAUCACAUGUAAUUGUUGGCCGAGGCGAAGCCGAGGUCAACAAACAUGUGAUCUGAGGCUUUCUUAUUUACUUCCCGAGGAGUGUAUACUAUUUUUCUCCUCGACGGAGGAGGAAAGCGGCAACUUCGUUUUGCACAGCGGGACGAAAGUUGCACUUUCCGCCCGGAGGUGAGAAAAUUUAUUUAUUUAAAAAAUAAAACUACUCGAAAUUCGUUUAUUUUAUUGGGGUAAUUAAAAAUUUUAGUUGUCUGAUUUUUUUUUUUUAAUGUCCGAAGCUAAAAACAAUUGAGUUGGUAACUCUAAUUGUAUAUAUGAAAUAAUAUGUAUAAUACAUUUAUUAGACAUACCAAUGUCAAAUGUUUUUAUACUACUGAUCACGUCAGUUCCAGACGUGCAUUCGCUGUUGUUUAAAAUUUCUAUUUUUAUAAACUUUUACACCAUCAUCAUUUACAAGUUAAAAAUAUAAAAAAAGAUGUAUAAAAAAAAAUAGAUCAUUCAUAUAUAUUCGCAGCGAUUUAUGUGAAUUAUUAUUAAUAUCAUUUAUUUUUUUUUUUUUAAUAAGAAUUACAUGCUCCAAUUUAUUAGAAUUUAAAUAUUUUAUAUAACAACAUUACGUUUAUUAUAUUGAAUAAAAAAAAAAUUUAUUAUACAUUAAAUAUAUAUAAGUAAAAGUUGUAAAAAAUAUUUAUAACGAUAAAUAAUAACAUAUUAAAUUACUUAGUUUAUAUUAUAUGACUAGCGAAGAGGAAGAGAUAGAGCUUCACACAUGAGACAUUUUAAAUCGAGGCGUGUGCUUGAAAUAAUCGUGACCCAGAGGCUUAUAUAUACGAGCCACUUUUCACUUUGCAUCUAAAGACGUUGUCUCGCUGGUUAACUUAAAAUCUUUUACCCCUCGCUAUCUCUUUUUCCGUCUUUUAAUAUAAUCAAAAUAACCCAAUCCAUCAUUUAUAUGUAUAUGUAGAUAAUUUAUAUAUACAUUAUUUUAUGUUUAAAUAAUUUUUAAAAAUAAGUUUAUAUAAUAUUUAUUUUUUUAAUUCAUGGUCACUUAUAAAUUUAUUUAGAUUUAUAUAUUUUUUUUUUAUUUAAGAAUAUUUGUCAAUAAGAUUUAUAAAAAAAAAGUUCUUUUAAUUGUGGCACUGUGCCAUUAAAUAAAACAUUAAUGCAGUCGCAAUAAAUGUUUGCUUAGCAAAUUUUAUUACUAGUAAUAAACAAUAAAUUGACAUAAGCCAUUAAAAAAUUAAAAUUAAAUUGUAAUAUUUAUAAUUUUUAGAUCAAAUUUAUUAAUAUACCAGUAGUUAAAUCGACGCAGAUAAGCGACAACGAGUCAACUCACAAAUAAUCGAUUUUCAAAAUUUCUGUACCAAGUAAUUCUUUUGUUACUGAAAAAUGUUUUUUUGAGUAGUUUAAAAAAGCGUAAAAAAAAAUUGUUAAUACAAAUUAAUUAUCUGGGAUAAAACUUUUGCAAAAUCGAGUUAAGUAACUUGAGUUAAAAUAUUAGAUUGCAGGACAUUCAUUAACUAGAAUACAAAUUUUAGUAACUUGGUACGUUAUUGCACCAAAUACUAAAUAAAGUUUUGUUAUUACAAGAUACAAAUUUUAUUGUAAUUAACAAUAUUUUUGCUGUAAUAAUGUUAGCAGUACAGUGUCAAGUUACUUUAGAUUAAUUGGAUUUAAUGAGUACGAAACUUUUUUGAGAAUUAGUUUGGUUAUUUUAUAUUUCGUAAUAAAAAAUUUAAGUUCAUUUUUUAUGGAUUUGCUUGUUAUCAAUCAUCAAACUGUUAUACUUUUUUUCCUGAACAUUUGUUAAUAAAAGCUCAUAGAAGCAAUUCGUGCUCGAGUAAUUUCGAGAUAAAUUUUAUUGAAAAUAGUUUUAAAUCUUCAAACAUCAUCUUCUCAGAAUGUCUUCUAUGUUAGUUGACACGAAAUUGCUUAUCUACAUCCAAGCAUUAAUAUAAUAUUAAAUAAUUACUUUUAAUGUGACUUUAGUAAAUGCCGGUGCAUCUUCACUAGUCUUAGAUUCUCUUCUAGCAUUAAGUGACCAGGGUGCUGUGGGCAUUGGUAGUGGAUUUGGUCCAUCCUUGACCCACGGCGGUCUAAAUGUUGUUCUCUGAGGUUGCUGACCUCCCGCACCCGGCAUAGUUUUCUCACUCGUGGCUUUUUGCCCUUAUAUUUUAUUUUUAUUCUUUAAAUAUCACCUUCCGUUAAUCAAAUAGUCGUAAUCAAUUCUUUUAAAUCAAAUAAAAAUAAUAAUUAUUAUUA